GGCGGAGCCGGAGCGGAAGCGGCAGGGACGUAUCGUGCGCGGGGCCGGGUAAGCGGCGGAGAGCGAGUGAGGGAGAGGCGGAUCCCGGCAGACCGGCACUGGCGGCGAGCGGGGGCCGUUUAUCGACCCGCGCGGCGGUGGGCGGGGCGGGAGGAAACCUCAUGCUGAAACAGAAGAGAAAGUUGCCAAGGGAAGUGCUUACUGCUGUUUCUUCCUUAUUUCUCGCUGUACUGACCAUCUUCAAACCUCUUCCAGGUGCAGACUUAGGAGAGUUUGAGUCAGUGCAAACAGUGUUUAAUCAUUAUACAUUCCUAUCUUGUUUUGAGAGGGAAUACCCUCCCUCCUUAGAUAAGUACAAUCCUGAGUGCUUCAGCUCUGUAAUGUUCAAAAGCCGCUGUUUUCAAGUGGCUAAAAUGCAGUGAAGAUUUAAAUGUGAGUGUUAGAAGGAGAGGGGAGAGCAAAUCUGAACAAAGUGACAAGUAAAUCUUAACCUACAUAACAUCCAUGGGAAAAGCUUUAAAAAAGCCUUAGAGAUGUACAAUUUAACGUGUUUGGUUGGACUUUUCUGGAAUUUAGAUGGAAGUUAAUUAGUGACUAUAAACGAGACAGUCUCGAUACAUGUAUAUAACAUUAUGGGUUAAGGUAAGAGGGCUACAUGCAUAUUCCCCUUCUCUGACAUUGUCACAAGGCUGUCAAGAGACUGGAGUAUGCAGCUCUGGACAGGAUGCAUUUAUCCUGCUUCAUUGAGAUUCACCAGCAUUGGCAUAUGUGCUUUGCGUGGCUUCUGGAUGUAAUAGUUUUGUAGCUGAGGAUAAGAAUGGUUGAAUUUGUCUGGCCAAAUUUCAAGCUAAAUUUUGAACUCCAAGGAGACAGAUGGAUUAAUAGGGUUGUGUCAGCUGUGGCAUUUACAGGGUUGAGUACAGAGCAGACCAAUAACCAACAAGUCAUUAUUUCCAAUCAGUUGCUGUCUCUGGGACAGUCUGACAGUUGCUAUCUAUUACUCAUCGCUACUGGGAAGAAGUCAUUUUGUUCAGUUGUUUGGAGUAAGAUUCACACUGACAGUAUUAACACAUUCAUCUACCAGUUUUCAAAGCAGAACAUCUUUAAUCAGUUGACUGAUUAGUUGUACCUCUAUUUUUGCAUUUUCUGGAAGUUCUGUAGGAAAAAGAUUUGAGAUUAAGUGGUUAUAUAUAUGGAUGUAACAGAUAAGCCUAACUCUUCUCUCAUCUUCCCCUCAAUUACUUUCAUUAAACUGUUUUUUUCCACAGUUGUGGUUACAAUAUUCUAUCUAUCUUGAUUUGUAUGUUUAUCCAAGCAAAAUAGCCUUUAGGAAAGUACUUUAUGUACUUUCAUGCACUUUAUUAUUCUUAGAGUGGCAGCUAUAUUAAUUAAAGAAAAGCAAGAGGAUUUUUAUGUUUAGGCACUCUUGCUUUGAGAAGGUCAUGUAACAGAACAGUUGAAAAAUAUUUCUAUAUAACAGUCAUUGUGAUUCUCAUUUAAUGUCGGGUGGGCUUGAUUUUAUUUUUCCACUGCCUGUCUUUGAGCAAUUGGUUUGUCCCAGUGAUAGAUGAUAUAAAAUAGUACAUUUGAUGUACAUCUCCAUAUAUGAAAUGUAAGAACUUUUUGCUGUGCAUUGCUAUCAUGUCCCUGUAACUGUAUAGAGACAUUAUUAAUCUAGAUAGUUAUUUGAAAGAUUUUGUCCCAGUGUCACCUGUGCUCUACAUAGAUACAUAUAAAAUAUGUAUAAAUAACCAUACUGCAUAUCUGAGCAGCAUUCAGAGUUUUUCCUCAUAUUAUAAUGAAGUUCUAUAUGAUUGUUUUAAGAGUGCCAUCUAGUGCCCAAUGCUUUUCAAUAGGAAUUGUGAUUUUUAAGUUAACGGAGAAUGUUACGAGGUGGUGUUGCAGCAAAGCUAUUGCAUUAUUGUUUUAUAUUACACUAGUAUGGAAUGGCUUAAUAAAAAAAAAUAGACUUUCAACAGAGUAUAAAGAAAAAUAAUUUAAAAUUAUAAUACAAUGACAUUAAUUUCAGCUACAUCACUCUUGAAUUUCACUUUAAAACAGUGUCUCUGUGUGUGUAUGUGCUUUAACAGAGAGGCAAACGUAUACGUGAUAAAACUGUUUUAGGUGCUCAGGAACAUGUUUUUUUAAUAUUGUAUAAUAAAUGUAUUAUAUAAUAAAUGGGAGGUUACUGAUUUAAAAAUGAG
This 2204-nucleotide long non-coding RNA is filed under the name Gallus gallus (chicken). Lineage: Eukaryota; Metazoa; Chordata; Aves; Galliformes; Phasianidae. The record is from RNAcentral.